Arachis duranensis is the source of this 2624-nucleotide long non-coding RNA. RefSeq lists it as uncharacterized. The record is from RefSeq and is a predicted model, not a curated record. Lineage: Eukaryota; Viridiplantae; Streptophyta; Magnoliopsida; Fabales; Fabaceae. The transcript has 7 exons.
AGUUAUUAUUUGGGGCCAGAGUUGCUGAGAUCUGAUUCUCUCAUUAGUGAGUCAGUGCUUAAACAUUUGUGGCAUCAUCAGGAUGCCAUUUUGUGCUGUUCUUUGAAGUCGGUGCCGGUGUUCAUCUUUGCAAACCAGGCUGGCCUUGACAUGUUAGAAACAACUUUGGUGGCUUUAAAAGACAUCACAUGGGUAUUUAGAGGAAGUGCCUUGUAUUAACUCCAUCUUGUGAAGGCAGAGAAAGCUAGAAGAUACAUUCCAAAAGAAUUCAAAUAGGUUGAAGCUUUUGGUGUUUCUCCACGAGCCCAGAGCCACUACUAGACCCUGUUUUACUGUGCACCCACCCUCUGCCACUGUCGCUACCCCAGCGCUACCACUAGGCCGCCACCCUGGUUUAGCUCAUUCUGUUUAGCUUGUUUAGUUCAACUAAUUUAGUUUAGUUGAAUUAGGUGGUUAGAGAAUCUGGACUAGUUAGUGGAUGUAGGUUUUGUUUUGUUUACUGCUGCUGUUCGGAAUGAAUUUGUCUUUCCUCUGAAUGUUGCCCUGGAUGAACUUGUUUAUUGUGCUGUUUUGGUGUUGAAUUCUGGACUUGUGAGUUGUGAUUGCUGUUUAUUGUAUUUUUUUUCAUUGUCCAAAAUAGAUGCUGUGAAAGUGUUACUGUUUCAUUAAUUUUUCUUGGUUUGUUGUUGCUGAGUGCUGCUCUGCUUGUUGCUUUGUCCAUAUUAUAUGAACUGCAAUGAUUUCAGUUUGUGGAACUGGUUAAGUCAUGAAUUCUGUUUGCUGCUUGCUUGAACCUGGGACAUGCUAUUUACUGCUGCUGUUUAAUAAACAAUUGCUUCUGUUUAAUAAACAAUUGCUAUUUACUCCUCAUUCAAACAUCAUAGGACAAAGCUAAAUACUUAAGGAGUAAAUAUUUGCACUAGUUUUUUUUCCUAGAAUAUAAAUAAAAAAUUCCAUUAACCAGUCAAUGCAAAAGUAGUUAGAACCGAUUCCAGUCUAAAAUUAUUGCUCGUGUUAAUGUGUAACUAUUGAUUAACAUAUCUACAAGUGUUUUAAAGUGGUGUUCUAGUUUUUUCUGGUUGAUGAAGUAGUCAUUGUUUUAUUUGUUGCCACUCACCGAUUGUGUACUUUUUUAUUAUGCCUUUUGUUUUUUAUGAAGAAGAUUUGGAUCUGGUUCUGCAGGCUGCAGAGGCUUGGAUUGAUGUUGAAAGAGUUCAUACAAUUGCAUUAGAAGCCAAGAAGAACUAGUGUCAUGAUGAUCUAUCUUUUUUUUUUCCAGUUUUAAAUCAUGUAAUUUUGCUUCAUUUUCAUCUUCAAUUGUAAUUUUGUAGGUUUGGUAAUAAAAGAGGAUUGAAAAUUUAUAGUGUAGUAAUGAAGAUCAAGUAAGGAAAAGAUUUUUUUUUAAUUUAACAAGGCUUUCGCGACGCUUUUAAAGCGUGGCUGUACACCUCUCUAUCGCCACGCUUCAAAAGCGUGGCCGUAUCUCUCCCUAUCGCCACGCUUCAAAAGCGUGGCCGUAUCUCUUCCUAUCACCACGCUUUUAAAGCGUGGCCAUAUCUCUCGCAUACGGCCACGUUUUAAUGGGUGGCCAGUUGUAAAAAGCGUGGCAAAAGAAAAAGCGUGGCAAUAGGUUGCAAAAAGCGUGGCGAUAGAGCAACCGCCACCCUUUGAUAGGUCACCCUUUCAAAAGCGUGGCGAUAGCUCAAAAAGCGUGGCGAAAAGCUAUCGUCACGCUUUUUUGAGCUUUUCGCCACGCUUUAAAAGCGUGGCAAAAGACGUGUUUUCUUGUAGUGUGCUAUAGAGAGAGAUGCAUUCGUCAAAGAAACUUCCAAGAUGCCAUUUCUAAUGCUAGGAUUGGAUUUGCCACCGCCUCCACUUUUCAAAUAUGUGAUGGAGAAAAAUAUAAUACCCCAGGUUCCUCUCUUUAACAUUCUAAAGAAGUUUGAUGGGGGUGACUGUUACAGAGGUGGUUCGACCUCACAUAGUAAGAAUGCGGUAUCGGGUUACCAAAUUGCCUAAAUAUAUCAUUAUUCACAUUCGUCGAUUUACUAAGAACGAUUUUUUUGUGGAGAAAAAUCCCACUUUAGUCAACUUUCCUGUUAAGAACCUGGAGUUGAAGGACUACAUUCCCUUGCCAACGCCGAAAGAAAAUGAGAAAUUGCGAUCCAUAUAUGGUUAAUUGCCAAUGUCGUCCAUGAUGGCAAACCUGGUGAAGGUUUCUACAGGGUAUUUGUUCAACGCAAAUCAGAAGAACUAUGGUACGAGAUGCAGGAUUUGCACGUCUCAGAAACACUUCCUCAUUUGGUUGCACUUUAAGAAGCUUAUAUGCAGAUAUAUGAGCAGCAACAGCAAUAGCAAUAAAAUCGACUCGAGUCCUGUUUUGCAAGCACCAUAAUCUGAAACUUGAUUUUACCCGAAUAGAGAUGUAGAGGUGUACGUGCUGGGGUUGGGAUGAGUUGAAUCCGGCAUUAUUUUUUUACUGGGUCAUUUUGUAGAAAUCAAAUCAAAAUCACUGAAAAUAAUUGGAUAUAAGAGUUGACCUCAUAUUAGACAAUGCAUUAUGUAAGAAUUCGGAUAUUAUAUUACUUAUGUAGUAAUGAAAUUUUAAACAAAGAAAAAGUUUU